Molecule: ribosomal RNA, 468 nt
Filed under: uncultured bacterium
Lineage: Bacteria
Description: partial 16S ribosomal RNA
Rfam family: Bacterial small subunit ribosomal RNA
Source: RNAcentral
GACGAACGCUGGCGGCGUACUUAACACAUGCAAGUCGAACGGAAAGGCCCUGCUUUUGUGGGGUGCUCGAGUGGCGAACGGGUGAGUAACACGUGAGUAACCUGCCCUUGACUUUGGGAUAACUUCAGGAAACUGGGGCUAAUACCGGAUAGGAGCUCCUGCUGCAUGGUGGUGGUUGGAAAGUUUCGGCGGUUGGGGAUGGACUCGCGGCUUAUCAGCUUGUUGGUGGGGUAGUGGCUUACCAAGGCUUUGACGGGUAGCCGGCCUGAGAGGGUGACCGGCCACAUAGGGACUGAGAUACGGCCCCGACUCCUACGGGAGGCAGCAGGGGGGAAUAUUGCACAAUGGGCGGAAGCCUGAUGCAGCAACGCCGGGUGCGGGAUGACGGCCUUCGGGUGGUAAACCGCUUUCGCCUGUGACGAAGCGUGAGUGACGGUAAUGGAUAAAGAAGCACCGGCUAACUACGUG